CGGUAAUACGGUAGUGGCAAGCGUUAUCCGGAAUUAUUGGGCGUAAAGCGUCCGCAGGCGGCUUUUCAAGUCUGCUGUUAAAGCGUGGAGCUUAACUCCAUCAUGGCAGUGGAAACUGAAAGGCUUGAGUAUGGUAGGGGCAGAGGGAAUUCCCGGUGUAGCGGUGAAAUGCGUAGAUAUCGGGAAGAACACCAGUGGCGAAGGCGCUCUGCUGGGCCAUUACUGACGCUCAUGGACGAAAGCCAGGGGAGCGAAAGGGAUUAGAUACCCCUGUAGUCCUGGCCGUAAACGAUGAACACUAGGUGUCGGGGGAAUCGACCCCUUCGGUGUCGUAGCUAACGCGUUAAGUGUUCCGCCUGGGGAGUACGCACGCAAGUGUGAAACUCAAAGGAAUUGACGGGGGCCCGCACAAGCGGUGGAGUAUGUGGUUUAAUUCGAUGCAACGCGAAGAACCUUACCAGGGUUUGACAUCCUGCGAACCUCUUAGAAAUUUGAGGGUGCCUUCGGGAAUGCAGUGACAGGUGGUGCAUGGCUGUCGUCAGCUCGUGUCGUGAGAUGUUGGGUUAAGUCCCGCAACGAGCGCAACCCACGUUUUUAGUUGCCAGCAUUUAGUUGGGCACUCUAGAAAGACCGCCGGUGAUAAACCGGAGGAAGGUGUGGAUGACGUCAAGUCAUCAUGCCCCUUACACCCUGGGCUACACACGUACUACAAUGCUACGGACAAAGGGCAGCAAACUCGCGAGAGCUAGCAAAUCCCAUAAACCGUGGCUCAGUUCAGAUCGUAGGCUGCAACUCGCCUACGUGAAGUAGGAAUCGCUAGUAAUCGCAGGUCAGCAUACUGCGGUGAAUACGUUCCCGGGCCUUGUACACACCGCCCGUCACACCAUGGAAGUUGGCCAUGCCCGAAGUCGUUACUCCAACCCUUGUGGAGGAGGACGCCGAAGGUGGGGCUAAUGACUGGGGUGAAGUCGUAACAAGGUAGCCGUACCGGAAGGUGCGGCUGGAUCACCUCCUAA
RNAcentral lists this ribosomal RNA (1016 nucleotides) under Bacteroidota bacterium. Its description in RNAcentral is "bacterial SSU rRNA". It matches the Rfam family "Bacterial small subunit ribosomal RNA", at positions 518 to 1533 of the family's 1533-position model. The record is from RNAcentral. Lineage: Bacteria; Pseudomonadati; Bacteroidota.